UCAGGACGAACGCUGGCGGUGUGCUUCAUACAUGCAAGUCGAACGAUAAGGUCCCUUCGGGGAUACAUAAGUGGCGGACGGGUGAGUAACACGUAGAAAAUCUACCUCGAGGAAGGGGACAACAGUUGGAAACGACUGCUAAUACCCUAUAUGAGCUGGGCUGAAACGCCUAUCUUGAAAGUUCCGGCGCCUUGAGAUGAGUCUGCGUCUGAUUAGCUAGUUGGUGGGGUAAAUGCCUACCAAGGCGACGAUCAGUAGCUGGUUUGAGAGGAUGACCAGCCACAAUGGGACUGAGACACGGCCCAUACUCCUACGGGAGGCAGCAGUAGGGAAUUUUGCGCAAUGGGGGAAACCCUGACGCAGCAACACCGCGUGAACGACGAAGCCCUUCGGGGUGUAAAGUUCUGUCAGUAGGGACGAAUUUUGACGGUACCUACAAAGGAAGCAUCGGCUAACUACGUGCCAGCCGCAGC
RNAcentral lists this ribosomal RNA (473 nucleotides) under uncultured bacterium. Its description in RNAcentral is "bacterial SSU rRNA". It matches the Rfam family "Bacterial small subunit ribosomal RNA", at positions 24 to 518 of the family's 1533-position model. The record is from RNAcentral.